CAAAGGAAUUGACGGGGACCCGCACAAGCGGUGGAUGAUGUGGUUUAAUUCGAUGCAACGCGAAAAACCUUACCCACCUUUGACAUGGCAGGAAUUCCGAAGAGAUUUGGAAGUGCUCGAAAGAGAACCUGCACACAGGUGCUGCAUGGCUGUCGUCAGCUCGUGUCGUGAGAUGUUGGGUUAAGUCCCGCAACGAGCGCAACCCUUGCCAUUAGUUGCUACGAAAGGGCACUCUAAUGGGACUGCCGGUGACAAACCGGAGGAAGGUGGGGAUGACGUCAAGUCCUCAUGGCCCUUAUAGGUGGGGCUACACACGUCAUACAAUGGCCGGUACAAAGGGUAGCCAACCCGCGAGGGGGAGCCAAUCCCAUAAAGCCGGUCGUAGUCCGGAUCGCAGUCUGCAACUCGACUGCGUGAAGUCGGAAUCGCUAGUAAUCGUGGAUCAGCAUGUCACGGUGAAUACGUUCCCGGGUC
RNAcentral lists this ribosomal RNA (474 nucleotides) under Brachymonas sp. GF1. Its description in RNAcentral is "bacterial SSU rRNA". It matches the Rfam family "Bacterial small subunit ribosomal RNA", at positions 902 to 1380 of the family's 1533-position model. Lineage: Bacteria; Pseudomonadati; Pseudomonadota; Betaproteobacteria; Burkholderiales; Comamonadaceae. The record is from RNAcentral. RNAcentral also lists the same sequence under 9 other names.